RNAcentral lists this ribosomal RNA (144 nucleotides) under Daphnia pulex (common water flea). RNAcentral describes it as "partial small subunit ribosomal RNA". Lineage: Eukaryota; Metazoa; Arthropoda; Branchiopoda; Diplostraca; Daphniidae. The record is from RNAcentral.
UACUUAUUGUUUUAUUUAAAUCCCCUGUUUAUAUAUAGAUUUAACUCAAAAUAGAGCCAAAGCCAGAUUCAAACUUUCCCUAAAAUUUAACCCAGAAGGACCUUAAAAGUAUGGAUAAAAACUCGGAACCACUUUAGCGCAAGU